UACGUAGGGGGCAAGCGUUGUCCGGAAUCAUUGGGCGUAAAGAGCGUGUAGGCGGCUCGAUAAGUCUGCUGUGAAAGUCCAGGGCUCAACCCUGGAAGGCCGGUGGAAACUGUCGGGCUAGAGUCCGGAAGAGGCGAGUGGAAUUCCGGGUGUAGCGGUGAAAUGCGCAGAUAUCGGGAGGAACACCAAUGGCGAAGGCAGCUCGCUGGGACGUGGACUGACGCUGAGACGCGAAAGCGUGGGGAGCAAACAGG
RNAcentral lists this ribosomal RNA (254 nucleotides) under uncultured bacterium. RNAcentral's name for it is "partial 16S ribosomal RNA". It matches the Rfam family "Bacterial small subunit ribosomal RNA", at positions 524 to 776 of the family's 1533-position model. The record is from RNAcentral.